This 354-nucleotide unclassified non-coding RNA is filed under the name soil metagenome. RNAcentral describes it as "partial contains 5.8S ribosomal RNA, internal transcribed spacer 2, and large subunit ribosomal RNA". The stretch from base 1 to 120 matches the Rfam family "5.8S ribosomal RNA", at positions 35 to 154 of the family's 154-position model. The record is from RNAcentral.
GAUGAAGAACGUAGUGAAAUGCGAUAAGUAGUGUGAAUUGCAGAAUUCAGUGAAUCAUCGAAUCUUUGAACGCACAUUGCGCCUCCCGGUAUUCCGGGAGGCAUGCCUGUUCGAGCGUCAUUAAAAUCACUCAAGCUUAGGUUUACCUAUUGCUUGGUCUUGGAGAUGGAAGCCAAUUUAUUGGAAUCCUCUUCGAAAUUCAAUGGCGAAGACCCUUGCUCUCCCAAGUGUAGUAAUAACUUAUGUCACUGAAGGAAGCGAGAAAUCUUCUGCCGUAACCCCCAUAUUUUCUAUGAUUGACCUCGGAUCAGGUAGGGAUACCCGCUGAACUUAAGCAUAUCAAUAAGCGGAGGA